CUCCCGACUAAGCAGAAGGAGAUACCGUGAUCAAGAAGGUGGUUCACCCAGUGUGGGGCUCAGCCAUUGCACUCUGGCUGUGCUGACCCCCUGUGAAUUUCCCAAAUGUGGAAAUCUCGAUUGCAUAAUUUAUGGUAGUGGGGGACUGUGUCCGCGCUCUCCCCUG
Molecule: small nuclear RNA, 166 nt
Organism: Salvelinus namaycush (lake trout)
Lineage: Eukaryota; Metazoa; Chordata; Actinopteri; Salmoniformes; Salmonidae
Product: U1 spliceosomal RNA
Exons: 1
Source: RefSeq, a predicted model, not a curated record